UACGUAGGGACCGAGCGUUGUCCGGAAUCAUUGGGCGUAAAGCGCGUGUAGGCGGCCAACUAAGUCCUGCGUGAAAUCUCGGGGCUCAACCCCGAGCGGUCGUGGGAAACUGGUUGGCUAGAGUGCGGGAGAGGAGAGUGGAAUUCCUGGUGUAGCGGUGAAAUGCGCAGAUAUCAGGAGGAACACCGAUGGCGAAGGCGGGUCUCUGGGCAUUUCCUGACGCUGAGGCGCGAAAGCGUGGGGAGCAAACGGG
RNAcentral lists this ribosomal RNA (253 nucleotides) under uncultured bacterium. RNAcentral describes it as "partial 16S ribosomal RNA". It matches the Rfam family "Bacterial small subunit ribosomal RNA", at positions 524 to 776 of the family's 1533-position model. The record is from RNAcentral.